This 1059-nucleotide long non-coding RNA is filed under the name Marmota monax (woodchuck). Lineage: Eukaryota; Metazoa; Chordata; Mammalia; Rodentia; Sciuridae. The record is from RNAcentral.
AGUACAUAUAUAUACCACAAUUUUUGUAUCUUUGUUUGUAUAUAAAGUAUGUUGACACCCAAUUUAAGUCUUCAUACAUGUACUUUGGAUAAUCAUGUCCAUCACAUUCCACCAUCCUUGCUGAUCCCUGCCCCUUCCCUUUCCCUCCCACCCCUCUUCCCUAUCUAGAAUUCAUUUAUACCUCCCAUGCUGUCCCUCCCAGUCCCACUAUGAGUCAACUUCCUUAUAUCAGGGAAAACAUUCUGCAUUUGUUUUUUUGGGGGGAUUGGCUGACUUCACUUAGCAUUAUCUUCUCCAACGCCAUCCAUUUACCUGCAAAUGCCAUGGUUUUGGUUCUUUUUUUUUUAAUGCUGAGUAAAAUUCUAUUGUGUAUAUAUGCCAUUUUUUUUUUCAUUCAUCCACUGAAGGACAUCUAGGUUGGCUCCACAGUUUAGCUAUUGUAAAUUGUGCUGCUAUAACUUUAAUGUGGCUGUGUCCCUGUAGUAUGCUGUUUAUAAGUACUUUGGGUAUAGACAGAGGAGAGGGAUAGCUGGGUCAAAUGGUGGUUCCAUUCCCAGUUUUCCGAGGAAUCUCCAUACUGCUUUCCAUAUUUGCUGCACCAAUUUGCAGUCCCACCAGCAAUGUAUGAGUCUGCCUUUUUCUCCACAUCCUCCCCUACACUUAUUGUUGUUUGUCUUCAUAAUAGCUGCCAUUCUGACUGGAGUGAGAUGAUAUAAAAAGAGAGAAUUUUCAUGAAUUUUUUUUACAUUCUUUUUCAUGACUAGAAAGUCUCUUGGGAACCAGGAAAGUGCUUCAGGAACAGAGGGCUUCAGUAUAUUUUGUUGUUAUUGUUUUUGUCACAUUUAAUUUUCUUAUUAUAGACAGUAGCACCUUUUGUCAGAAACUGUCAGGUCCUGCGUUAUCUGACCUCAUGGAGGAAGAGUGCAGGUGCUCCUGGAAUUAAUUUUGUAUGGUACAGACCUUUGACCUGGUGCUGCCUCCCUGGCUCCUGAGUGCCACUCUGCUAUGUUUUGGAACUUCUAAGAAGAGAUUGCUAGCCUUUGACUUUGAACAGCUUCC